AAUGUCGUAACAAGGUUUCCGUAGGUCAAGUUUAGCCUGCCACAGCGGGUCAACCUCGCUAGUCUCCGCUGGAGGCGACACGCUCAACCUGUGGGAAGGCCCGUCCCGGGAAACUCCACAGCCCACUUCCCUCGCCCGGAAGUCGGUUUAGAGGCUCAACGAGCGUGGGUGCUGAUCUCAGCGCUUGAGAUAGAGUCCGUCCCCAGCUGGUAACCGCUGGGGGCCGAACGGAACCUGCGGAAGGAUCAUUACAGAAUUGACGGUUUGCGAAGCAGAUUCUCACCCCGGUGUAUACACUAUCUCUGUUGCUUUGCGGGCGCCUGGCGCCUGCCAGAGGGAAAACCCUUGAAUCUCCUGCGCUGGCCGAUAAAAUAGCAAA
RNAcentral lists this unclassified non-coding RNA (379 nucleotides) under plant metagenome. Its description in RNAcentral is "partial contains small subunit ribosomal RNA and internal transcribed spacer 1". The record is from RNAcentral.